Molecule: ribosomal RNA, 120 nt
Filed under: uncultured bacterium
Lineage: Bacteria
Description: partial 16S ribosomal RNA
Rfam family: Bacterial small subunit ribosomal RNA
Source: RNAcentral
GACGAACGCUGGCGGCGUGCCUAACACAUGCAAGUCGAGCGGGGUCCAACUGGGGGCAACCCCAGGGAAGACCUAGCGGCGAACGGGUGAGUAACACGUGAGGAACCUGCCCUGGAGUGC